This 626-nucleotide long non-coding RNA is filed under the name Homo sapiens (human). Its description in RNAcentral is "non-protein coding MHENCR:25". Lineage: Eukaryota; Metazoa; Chordata; Mammalia; Primates; Hominidae. The record is from RNAcentral.
GGACGGACGGCGCCAGGGAGCAGUGCCCACGCGCGGCAGGGCGGUACCUUCAGGCCUCCAGGACUGGCUCUCCUGACCUCUCCAGGUGUCAUCGAACACCCUUGUGCUUGCUGUCACCCGCUGCCUGUCUGCAGGAUCCCGGAUUCCGUAUCAGGGGACCGAAAUUAGUCGGAAAAUAGGAAGCAGGUGCUCGCUUGGAUGGAACCCUGACCCUGUGCUCACACUUGUAGGAGGAGGGCUCUGCAGGCCGCCUCCCGGAACGGGAGGUUCCCAAGCCACUGCACUUCGGAGGGGCUGUAAUUAGAGUUGCACAUUCAUUCAGUUCCCAGUAAAGUAGAACGUGCUCCAGCCAGUGAGGAAAAGGUGUUUUUAAAAAUUAGAUUGGCCGAGUGCGGUGGCUCAUGCCUUUUACCUCAACACUUUGGGAGACAAAGGUGGGAGGAUCACCUGUGGCCAGGAGUUCAAGACCAGCCUGGGCAACAGAGCCUGUCUCUGGGGAAGAAUAAAAAAAAAAAUUGAGCCUUUGUCAGUGCUACUAUUUUAUUAUCUGGUAAAUAUGAGAGGGUUCACGCGGUCUAUGUGUGUCAUUUAUCUGAGUUUGCCUAUCGUCACGUUUUGGAAAUAAA